Molecule: ribosomal RNA, 791 nt
Filed under: uncultured soil bacterium
Lineage: Bacteria
Description: SSU rRNA
Rfam family: Bacterial small subunit ribosomal RNA
Source: RNAcentral
UAGAGUUUGAUCCUGGCUCACAACGAACGUUGGCGGCCUGGAUUAGGCAUGCAAGUCGAACGAAUCCCCAAGGGGUAACUUUUGGGGGGAAGUGGCGAAAGGGGCAGUAAUGCGUGGGUAACCUACCCUGAGGACCGGGAUAGCCACCCUAACGGGUGGGUAAUACCGGACGAGAUGGCGAGAUCGCCUGGUCUUGCCAUCAAAUGAAUUUCGCCUCGGGAGGGGCUCACGUGGUGUUUGCUAGUUGGGGGGGUAACGGCCUACCAAGGCUAACAUGCCUAGCAGGUGUGAGGGCACGACCUGCGCCACUGGCACUGAGACACUGGCCAGACUCCUACGGGAGGCUGCAGUCGAGGAUCUUCGGCAAUGGGCGCAAGCCCGACCGAGCGACCCCGCGUGCGCGAUGAAAGCCUUCGGGUUGUAAAGCGCUGUCGAGGGGGAGGAAAGCCCGCAAGGGUCUGACCUAUCCCUGGAGGAACCCGGGCUAAGUUCGUGCCAGCAUCCGCGGUAAGAGCAACCUCGCAAACGUUGUUCCCAAUCACUGCGCUUAAAGGACGCGUAGGCGGGCAGCCUACUCAGGGGUGAAAUCUUACCGCUCAGCCCGAAAAUUGGCUUUGAAACUGGCUGUCUCGAGGGAGGUAGGGGCAUGUGACACUUCCCGUGGAGCGGUGAAAUGAGUUGAUAUCGUAAGGAACGCAGGCGUGAGAGCGACGUGCUGGACCUCUUCUGACGCUGAGCGCCAAGCUAGGGGAGCAAACCGGAUUAGACACCCCGGUAGGCCUCUCCUAACG